UGCGUGGUGGCGGCGGAGCAAACAGGGGCUGGAGCCCGUCGGUAGAGCACUUCUUCUCUUGCCGCCCGAGCAACCCGUGUAAUAAUCCCUCUCAGCUAUUAGGCGGUUGUUCGUUUGAAAUACGCGCCA
Non-coding RNA from Caenorhabditis elegans, 129 nucleotides. Lineage: Eukaryota; Metazoa; Nematoda; Chromadorea; Rhabditida; Rhabditidae. The record is from Ensembl.